AUUGAACGCUGGCGGCAGGCCUAACACAUGCAAGUCGAGCGGAUGAAGGGAGCUUGCUCCUGGAUUCAGCGGCGGACGGGUGAGUAAUGCCUAGGAAUCUGCCUGGUAGUGGGGGAUAGCGUCCGGAAACGGGCGCUAAUACCGCAUACGUCCUGAGGGAGAAAGUGGGGGAUCUUCGGACCUCACGCUAUCAGAUGAGCCUAGGUCGGAUUAGCUAGUUGGUGGGGUAAAGGCCUACCAAGGCGACGAUCCGUAACUGGUCUGAGAGGAUGAUCAGUCACACUGGAACUGAGACACGGUCCAGACUCCUACGGGAGGCAGCAGUGGGGAAUAUUGGACAAUGGGCGAAAGUCUGAUCCAGCCAUGCCGCGUGUGUGAAGAAGGUCUUCGGAUUGUAAAGCACUUUAAGUUGGGAGGAAGGGCAGUAAGUUAAUACCUUGCUGUUUUGACGUUACCAACAGAAUAAGCACCGGCUAACUUCGUG
RNAcentral lists this ribosomal RNA (484 nucleotides) under uncultured bacterium. RNAcentral's name for it is "partial 16S ribosomal RNA". It matches the Rfam family "Bacterial small subunit ribosomal RNA", at positions 30 to 507 of the family's 1533-position model. The record is from RNAcentral.